UUCUACAGCCAUACCACCCUGAAUAUCUGAAUAUGCCCAAUCUCAUCUGAUUUUGGAAGCUAAGCAGGGUUGGGCCUGGUUAUUAUUACUUGGAUGGGAGAAA
This 103-nucleotide ribosomal RNA is filed under the name Aotus nancymaae (Ma's night monkey). The record is from RNAcentral. Lineage: Eukaryota; Metazoa; Chordata; Mammalia; Primates; Aotidae.